CCCUUAGAUGUUCUGGGCCGCACACGCGCUACACUGAAGGAGGCAGCGUGUACUCCUGGAUCGAAAGAUUUGGGUAACCCGCGAAUCUCCUUCGUGCUAGGGAUUGAGGUUUGCAAUUAUCCUUCAUGAACGAGGAAUUCCCAGUAAGUGCAAGUCAUAAGCUUGCGCUGACUACGUCCCUGCCCUUUGUACACACCGCCCGUCGCUACUACCGAUUGAAUGAUUUAGUGAGGACUUCGGACUGGGACCGAUGCGGCUUUCGGGCUGCAUCGGUAUUCUGGAAAGAUGUCCAAACUGUAUCAUUUAGAGGAAGUAAAANUCGUANCA
RNAcentral lists this ribosomal RNA (327 nucleotides) under uncultured eukaryote. Its description in RNAcentral is "partial 18S ribosomal RNA". It matches the Rfam family "Eukaryotic small subunit ribosomal RNA", at positions 1470 to 1796 of the family's 1831-position model. The record is from RNAcentral.